CUCCUGCGGUGUUCGUCAGUGUGCCGGGUUACCUCCUGAGCCAAUGCACCACACCGGGGAGGGUUGGUCGCUCGUGGUGAGCACGUCCACUUCGGUGGAAAGCCUAAGCGGGUGAUCCGAAUCCCCACCUGAGAUCAUGUCUCAGGGUCAAUGGCACGCAACGGCACAGGCGGGAG
This 176-nucleotide non-coding RNA is filed under the name uncultured Abyssibacter sp. RNAcentral describes it as "6S / SsrS RNA". It matches the Rfam family "6S / SsrS RNA". From Rfam's summary of the family: E. coli 6S RNA was the first non coding RNA to be sequenced, but its function was unknown until recently. It consists of 184 nucleotides that fold into an extended hairpin structure with a large single-stranded internal bulge. The 6S RNA specifically associates with RNA polymerase holoenzyme containing the sigma70 specificity factor. Lineage: Bacteria; Pseudomonadati; Pseudomonadota; Gammaproteobacteria; Chromatiales; Oceanococcaceae. The record is from RNAcentral.